GCCUGGGUGGCUCAGUCGGUUAAGCAUCUGACUUUGGCUCAGGUCAUGAUCUCAUGGUCCGUGAGUUCAAGCCCCACAUCAGGCU
This 85-nucleotide transfer RNA is filed under the name Felis catus (domestic cat). It matches the Rfam family "tRNA". From Rfam's summary of the family: Transfer RNA (tRNA) molecules are approximately 80 nucleotides in length. Their secondary structure includes four short double-helical elements and three loops (D, anti-codon, and T loops). The record is from Rfam by way of RNAcentral. Lineage: Eukaryota; Metazoa; Chordata; Mammalia; Carnivora; Felidae.